Caligus rogercresseyi is the source of this 73-nucleotide non-coding RNA. The record is from the annotation of a GenBank genome assembly. NCBI's taxonomy places the organism in Eukaryota, Metazoa, Arthropoda, Copepoda, Siphonostomatoida, Caligidae.
GCCGUGAUCGUAUAGUGGUUAGUACUACACGUUGUGGCCGUGGUGACCCAUGUUCGAAUCCUUGGCCACAGCA